RNAcentral lists this long non-coding RNA (281 nucleotides) under Carica papaya (papaya). Its description in RNAcentral is "long non-coding RNA (CPAP_LNC000669)". Lineage: Eukaryota; Viridiplantae; Streptophyta; Magnoliopsida; Brassicales; Caricaceae. The record is from RNAcentral.
AGAGGCUCGUGGGCCAAGACGUGAGAAGGGCUAGGGUUGUACAUGCGUAGCAUGGACACAUGAAACACAUUAUGGACCCUUAAAAGUUUUGGAGGCAGGGCCAGUCUGUAAGCGACGGUACCAAUUCUGUCUAAGAUCUCAAAUGACCCAAUAAACUAGGGCUUAAUUUCCUCCUAUUGCCAAACUUACUGAUUUUCUUGAAAGGAGUGAUCAUAAGGAACACUCAAUCGCUUUUCUCAAAUUUCAAAUCCCUCAUCCGGGUCCACAUAACUCUUUUGUCU